RNAcentral lists this ribosomal RNA (332 nucleotides) under uncultured Pelotomaculum sp. RNAcentral describes it as "bacterial SSU rRNA". It matches the Rfam family "Bacterial small subunit ribosomal RNA", at positions 1047 to 1382 of the family's 1533-position model. The record is from RNAcentral. Lineage: Bacteria; Bacillati; Bacillota; Clostridia; Eubacteriales; Desulfotomaculaceae.
GGUUGUCGUCAGCUCGUGUCGUGAGAUGUUGGGUUAAGUCCGCAACGAGCGCCAACCCUACGUUAGUUGCUAACGCGUGAAGGCGAGCACUCUAGACGAACUGCCGUUGACAAAACGGAGGAAGGUGGGAUGACGUCAAAUCAUCAUGCCCUUAUGUUCUGGGCUACACACGUGCUACAAUGGCCGGUACAGACGGACGCAAAGCCGCGAGGUGGAGCAAAUCCUAAAAAGCCGGUCUCAGUUCGGAUUGCAGGCUGCAAUUCGCCUGCAUGAAGUCGGAAUCGCUAGUAAUCGCAGGUCAGCAUACUGCGGUGAAUACGUUCCCGGGCCUU